GGAAUCUUCGGCAAUGGACGAAAGUCUGACCGAGCAACGCCGCGUGAGUGAAGAAGGUUUUCGGGUCGUAAAGCACUGUUGUAUGGGAAGAACAGCUAGAAUAGGAAAUGAUUUUAGUUUGACGGUACCAUACCAGAAAGGGACGGCUAAAUACGUGCCAG
Molecule: ribosomal RNA, 161 nt
Filed under: uncultured bacterium
Lineage: Bacteria
Description: partial 16S ribosomal RNA
Rfam family: Bacterial small subunit ribosomal RNA
Source: RNAcentral